GAACGGUAGAGGGGGCAACCCCUUGAGAGUGGCGAACGGGUGAGUAAUAUAUCGGAACGUGCCCAGUCGUGGGGGAUAACGUAGCGAAAGUUACGCUAAUACCGCAUACGAUCUAAGGAUGAAAGCGGGGGAUCGCAAGACCUCGCGCGAUUGGAGCGGCCGAUAUCAGAUUAGGUAGUUGGUGGGGUAAAGGCUCACCAAGCCAACGAUCUGUAGCUGGUCUGAGAGGACGACCAGCCACACUGGAACUGAGACACGGUCCAGACUCCUACGGGAGGCAGCAGUGGGGAAUUUUGGACAAUGGACGCAAGUCUGAUCCAGCCAUUCCGCGUGCAGGAUGAAGGCCCUCGGGUUGUAAACUGCUUUUGUACGGAACGAAAAGGUUUCUAUUAAUACUAGGAACUCAUGACGGUACCGUAAGAAUAAGCACCGGCUAACUACGUGCCAG
RNAcentral lists this ribosomal RNA (448 nucleotides) under uncultured Comamonadaceae bacterium. RNAcentral's name for it is "bacterial SSU rRNA". It matches the Rfam family "Bacterial small subunit ribosomal RNA", at positions 64 to 511 of the family's 1533-position model. The record is from RNAcentral. Lineage: Bacteria; Pseudomonadati; Pseudomonadota; Betaproteobacteria; Burkholderiales; Comamonadaceae.